RNAcentral lists this ribosomal RNA (253 nucleotides) under uncultured bacterium. RNAcentral describes it as "partial 16S ribosomal RNA". It matches the Rfam family "Bacterial small subunit ribosomal RNA", at positions 524 to 776 of the family's 1533-position model. The record is from RNAcentral.
UACGGGGGGGGCAAGCGUUGUUCGGAAUUACUGGGCGUAAAGGGCUCGUAGGCGGCCAACUAAGUCAGACGUGAAAUCCCUCGGCUUAACCGGGGAACUGCAUCUGAUACUGGAUGGCUUGAGAUUGGGAGGGGGAUGCGGAAUUCCAGGUGUAGCGGUGAAAUGCGUAGAUAUCUGGAGGAACACCGGUGGCGAAGGCGGCAUCCUGGACCAACACUGACGCUGAGGAGCGAAAGCCAGGGGAGUAAACGGG